This 325-nucleotide ribosomal RNA is filed under the name Pleurehdera stellata. RNAcentral's name for it is "partial large subunit ribosomal RNA". Lineage: Eukaryota; Metazoa; Mollusca; Gastropoda; Pleurobranchida; Pleurobranchidae. The record is from RNAcentral.
GUAGCUAAGCUGUCUCAGAAUUAUUUUAUCGAAUUUACUGUAUAGAUGAAAAAGUCUAUAAAUCCAAAAAAGACGAGAAGACCCUUAGAAUUUAAAUAAAACCGAAUAGUUUUUCGUAAUAUUUUUGUUGGGGCGACAAGAAGACAAUUAACUUUAACUCUUCUGAUAAUAUAAGACGAUUAGUAAUAAGGUCGGAUAAAUUACCUGAGGGAUAACAGCAUAAUUUUAUGAUUAAGUUUGUGACCUCGAUGUUGGACUAGGAAAUUAAUAGACUAGCCGUUUAUUAUAUUGGUUCUGUUCGAACUGUUUUUCCUACAUGAUCUGA